Molecule: ribosomal RNA, 254 nt
Filed under: uncultured bacterium
Lineage: Bacteria
Description: partial 16S ribosomal RNA
Rfam family: Bacterial small subunit ribosomal RNA
Source: RNAcentral
UACGUAGGGUGCGAGCGUUAUCCGGACUCAUUGGGCGUAAAGAGCUCGUAGGCGGUUCAGCAAGUCGGCUGUGAAAGUCCGAGGCUCAACCUCGGAAUUGCAGUCGAUACUGCUGUGACUCGAGUCCGGUAGAGGAGAACGGAAUUUCCGGUGUAGCGGUGAAAUGCGCAGAUAUCGGGAGGAACACCAGUAGCGAAGGCGGUUCUCUGGGCCGGCAGUGACGCUGAGGAGCGAAAGCGUGGGGAGCGAACAGG